This 531-nucleotide ribosomal RNA is filed under the name Tanymecosticta sp. BOLD:ACG1129. RNAcentral's name for it is "partial 16S ribosomal RNA". It matches the Rfam family "Bacterial large subunit ribosomal RNA", at positions 1830 to 2619 of the family's 2925-position model. The record is from RNAcentral. Lineage: Eukaryota; Metazoa; Arthropoda; Insecta; Odonata; Megapodagrionidae.
GUCCUCUUGUUGUGGUUAAGAGGUUUGACCUGCCCGGUGAUAAUUAUUUAACGGCCGCGGUAUUUUGACCGUGCAAAGGUAGCAUAAUCAUUAGUCUUUUAAUAGGAGGCUGGAAUGAAAGGUUUGACGAAGCAUUAACUGUCUUAAUUUUAUUUUUAGAAUUUAAUUUUUAGGUUAGAAAGCUUAAAUUUAGUUGGAAGACGAGAAGACCCUAUAGAGCUUUAUAAAUUUAUUAUUAAGCAAAUUUAGGUUUAUGAUUUUAUUUUAUUAACCAAUUUAUUUUGUUGGGGUGACAAAAAUAUAUAAUAAACUUUUUUACAUUAUAAACAUUGAUUUAUGGUUAUUUGAUCCAUUAUUAUUGAUUAUUAGUCUAAGUUACCUUAGGGAUAACAGCGUAAUCUUCCUUUAAAGCUCAUAUUAACGGGAAGGCUUGCGACCUCGAUGUUGGAUUAAGAUUAUAGUUGGGUGCAGUAGCUUAACUAAUAGGUCUGUUCGACCUUUAAAUUCUUACAUGAUCUGAGUUCAGACCGG